Molecule: ribosomal RNA, 380 nt
Filed under: uncultured eukaryote
Lineage: Eukaryota
Description: partial 18S ribosomal RNA
Rfam family: Eukaryotic small subunit ribosomal RNA
Source: RNAcentral
CAAUAGCGUAUAUUAAAGUUGUUGCAGUUUAAAAGCUCGUAGUUGGAUUUGUGGCGUACGGUGUGUUCCGGGCACUUGUUGUCUGAGUAACCUGCUGUUGCCAUCCUUGGGUGGAACCUGUGUGGCAUUAGGUUGUCGUGCAGGGGAUGCCCAUCAUUUACUGUGAAAAAAUUAGAGUGUUCAAAGCAGGCUUAUGCCGUUGAAUAUAUUAGCAUGGAAUAAUGAGAUAGGACUUUUUUGCUAUUUUGUUGGUUUGCGCAAAGAGGUAAUGAUUAAUAGGGACAGUUGGGGGUAUUCGUAUUCCAUUGUCAGAGGUGAAAUUCUUGGAUUUUUGGAAGACGAACUACUGCGAAAGCAUUUACCAAGGAUGUUUUCAUUAA